GAUGGAGCGACGCCGCUGGGGGAUGAAUGGCUUCGGCCGUAAACCCCUGUCAUUUGCGAACAAACCUUGCUAUUUAAAAGAUGGCGAGCUGAUUGUAGCGAAAGAGGAAGGGACGGCUAACUCUGUGCCAGCAGCCGCGGUAAUACAGAGGUCCCAAGCGUUGUUCGGAUUCACUGGGCGUAAAGGGUGCGUAGGUGGUGAGGUAAGUCGGAUGUGAAAGCUCCGAGCUCAACUCGGAAAUGGCAUUGGAAACUACCUUGCUCGAGGGUUUGAGGGGGGACUGGAAUACUUGGUGUAGCAGUGAAAUGCGUAGAUAUCAAGUAGAACACCAGUGGCGAAGGCGAGUCCCUGGAAAACUCCUGACACUGAGGCACGAAAGCUAGGGGAGCAAACAGGAUUAGAUACCCUGGUAGUCCUAGCCGUAAACGGUGCGUAUUUGCUGUAAAAGGAAUCGACCCCUUUUGUGGCGUAGCCAACGCGUUAAAUACGCCGCCUGGGAAGUACGGUCGCAAGAUUA
RNAcentral lists this ribosomal RNA (517 nucleotides) under uncultured Verrucomicrobiota bacterium. RNAcentral's name for it is "bacterial SSU rRNA". It matches the Rfam family "Bacterial small subunit ribosomal RNA", at positions 385 to 896 of the family's 1533-position model. Lineage: Bacteria; Pseudomonadati; Verrucomicrobiota. The record is from RNAcentral.